GGCAAGAGAAGCUAUCGUGAGGGAAGAAAGGACAGAAGCAAAAAGAGAAAUUAGGACCAAUUUAAAUAAAGGAAACAGAUACCACAAAAUUAGUGGGUGCUGCACAGAAGGUUGCUUUUCCACAUAAACCGGAAAAGGAGGCAAACUAUGUUAUUCUUUAGACAUUGGAAGAUACUCUGCAACUGGGCACUGGCUGCUUAAUGGCGAUUAAGGCUUUUAAAAAUAGGAAAGCUUUUUGAAGAUCACCAAGUGAAGAGCAUGCCUGUCACUGUGCUCUGAGAGCUGGAAGUUCCUUCCCUUGAGUUUCUGAAAGGCCUGGAGACAGCUGACUGGUUAUUAGCUGGGUGAAGAUAGUUUGAUGAACAGGAGUGAAAGCGAAGAUUGAGGUUGCUGGUUACCAGGGCCAAGGGGACAUGUACAAGUCAGGGAAGACCCAGCCACAAACUCCUCCAAGACAAAGCGCGGCCACCCAGCCACGA
Long non-coding RNA from Leopardus geoffroyi (Geoffroy's cat), 479 nucleotides. RefSeq lists it as uncharacterized. The record is from RefSeq and is a predicted model, not a curated record. The transcript has 4 exons. Lineage: Eukaryota; Metazoa; Chordata; Mammalia; Carnivora; Felidae.